CUCACAAUCCCCAGGCACCUCAGGCGGCUGCUGGCGUCUUCUACCCCGAGUUAGGGAGGGGACCUGUGUGCAGUAACAAGAAUUUUUCGAGGUUUGGUGUGGAGAUUACUGGUGAAGAGUUUGAGUUGCUACUUGACAGAAUCCCCCUUGAUGAAGAUGGAAAUGUCAGAUGCCUCCAAUUCACGGCCAUGUUGGAUUCUCGAAGUUAUUUAAAAUAAUUAAAAACCGGGUUUCCAGACACUAUCAUAGAAAAAGGAUUUGAAGAUUUAGAUGAAGCAAACCUCAGGUGCUUCGUGCAGGAAAACACGUACAUUCUUUUAAAGAGGUAAGAAGCCUUAUCGUAUUGUUUAA
RNAcentral lists this long non-coding RNA (351 nucleotides) under Ursus americanus (American black bear). RNAcentral describes it as "lncRNA (ENSUAMG00000012587.1)". Lineage: Eukaryota; Metazoa; Chordata; Mammalia; Carnivora; Ursidae. The record is from RNAcentral.